GGUGGACCUGUGCAUGUGGGUUCUCUGCAGAAUAAAUGAUCUUUGCUGUUGCAUACAAUUUGAAUCUGGAGUAUCAUUCUUAGCAAAUCACGAACCCUUACAAUGCAACCUUUCUUUCUCUAUUUCUUAUGGAGAAAACCCAGGCAGAAGAGCAUGUUGAGACCUGGGAUAAAAAGCAGUUUGAGUUUGGGUCCAAUAUCCUAAAUUACAGAAAACAAAUGCUCAACUGUAAGUUCUGAAAGUACUGAAGAAGGCCAGAAGAGGGCGUCUGUUCCUGUGGAACAUGAGUUACAAAUGAUUCGUGAACAGCCAUGGCAACUGGGAAUUGAAUCUCAGCCAUCUGCAAGAGCAGCAAGUGUCCUCCACAGCCUCCCAUGAAUUUACUUUAAUUCUUAUAUAGAGCCUCAAAGAAAGAAUUUGUAAAAGUACAAGAAUUAAUGAUUUUAUUCAUUACUUAUAUUUACGUAACUAUGAAUUCAUUUUAAAAGAUAAACACUGCUAAUUAGUACAGUAAAUUGAAUUUUUCUUUGUAAACAGACCUACUUAAGUUCAAAACUGCGCGUUGAUUCAGUGAAAACUGUGAAGUAGCUCUGGGAUCCUAGUGUGUGGAUGUGAUGAGGGCUAGAAAGGCCCUAUGCAGACAGUGUAGCUGGUCACACACAUCCUGUGUGUCACGCUCUUCAUGACUGGGCCUCUGUACAUAUAUUAGUUUUCCACUUGGUCACAUCUUUAAAUGUCUAGCUCAAAGGUUGCUUGCCUAUUGAACUGUGCAAGGCAGAAGAGUUUCAUCUUCUCAAACAGUUCAGUGCAUUGUGACUGCCCUAUUUACACGGACCAGAGGCUGCAUCUUACUCAUCUCUGCAUUUCCAAUACAUCACUGUGCUUGGCUUACAAUGAAUGCUCAAUGAACAUUGGCUGAAAGAAUAGGCCAAGUCACUGCUUCACUCAUCGUAACAGGAAAAUGUUUCCUAUUUCUGAUUAUUUAUAUUUAUUUAUUUAUUUUAUUUAUUUAUCACUAACUCUAUACCAUUGGCCGCUGCUUUUAUCUCAAUUGGCUGCAGCUUUUACCUCAUUAGUUGCAGAGUACGAUGCCCUACAAUAGUCCCAGAAGGAAAAGCAGGCCUGAUAUUGAGGAGAUCAAUUUAGGAACAGAGAGGCUAAUUAGCAUUUCCAGUCAGCUCAGGAAUGGCUCCAAAAGAGAGAGAGGCUAAUCAACAUCCCUCAGACAACCGAAGUGAAAACCCGACCUGCUGGUCAAGCAUGUUCCACAAGAUGACUGUCAGCCACCCACGUUCCACAAGAUGACUGUCAGCCACCCACAGGCAAGGGAAACCCCUGCCACCUCAUUCCUUAAAGACCAGUCAGUUUAAAAGUCACACUGUUCUGACAAUAAUAAUGUGCCUAGUCGUUGUUUCUCUAGUCUACCCCUUAAACAGUAUAAGAACCGACUAAAUGGGCAGUUUAUGGUCACCACUCCACCUUCCGUGUAGGACGAUCCCCAUGUGUUGGAGCAUUAAAAAUUCCUCUUGCUUUUUGCAGUGACUCUCGUCUCUACAUGGUUCACUCAGGGGGUCUCAGGUAAACUAAGGCCCUGGUUGCUAGAGUCUUACAAUAUCAGGGUCCAGAAAUAAAGAAAAACUCUUUGAGAUUCCCCCAACUGUGUUUCUGGGAGUAGAAACUCAGGGUGUAAGCAUAUUGGCAAAUGCUCAUGUUAGACAGGCCCUUUCCCACAGAACCACACCAGAACCUUCUUGGAGGCUUCGAGCCUAGUGUUACAUUUAUGACAAUUUUAAGAAGGAAAUACUUGUCAUUGAAAUGGGGAAUUCUGAGUGAGGUGACAAAAGUCUGGGAUUAAUGUCCUUCCAUAGAAAUCGACAUUCCCUACCUUCUAUUAGGGUAAUUCGUAGUUUGCAUACUUUAUACUAUGGAGUCUAAAGCUCACGAAAUCUGAGUUCACAGUGUAUGUCUACACACAUCAUUUAAUUUUAUCCCCACAAUAAUGGUUCGCAAUUGGCCUAAUGUGACAGAAAGGGGAAGUAAGCGCUAGAGGUUGGUCAAACGAUUGUCCUGUAUCACCAAGCUUGUAGUUAGUUAGACCCGAAGAAGUCAUAGAACUAGAUAGGGAAGCUGGGAAGUCAAGAGUGGCCCACUACUCUUUUAGAAAUGAGAUUUAAUUGAAGCAGAGGCUUGCUUUUAUGAGACAGCAUCUCCAUUUCACACAUGGAGAAGAACUGGAGACAGAGAACUGGCUAUGGACUUUGUUACACAGCCAAAGAGUGGUGCUGUGGGUAGGUGACUCGUGUUCUGCCUUUGGUGUCCAAAUGGAUCCUGGUUCUAGCUCUGUGAUUGUGAGGGGUUUGUUCUCCUAAUCUUCUGUGAGCUACCACUUGUCAAAUGCUUGACAAAGAGCAAAUGCUCUAGAAAACAUUGUAAUUUGUAUUCAAAUCUUUUGAUAUCCUAUUACUUUCCAAUGGCAAAAUAAAUAAAUAAAUAAAUAAAUAAAUAAUAACUUUAAUACUA
Molecule: long non-coding RNA, 2520 nt
Organism: Grammomys surdaster
Lineage: Eukaryota; Metazoa; Chordata; Mammalia; Rodentia; Muridae
Exons: 3
Source: RefSeq, a predicted model, not a curated record